CAUGCAAGUCGAACGCCCCGCAAGGGGAGUGGCAGACGGGUGAGUAACGCGUGGGAAUCUACCCAGUUCUACGGAACAACACAGGGAAACUUGUGCUAAUACCGUACACGCCCCAAGGGGGAAAGAUUUAUCGGAAUUGGAUGAGCCCGCGUUGGAUUAGCUAGUUGGUGGGGUAAUGGCCUACCAAGGCGACGAUCCAUAGCUGGUCUGAGAGGAUGAUCAGCCACACUGGGACUGAGACACGGCCCAGACUCCUACGGGAGGCAGCAGUGGGGAAUAUUGGACAAUGGGCGAAAGCCUGAUCCAGCCAUGCCGCGUGAGUGAUGAAGGCCUUAGGGUUGUAAAGCUCUUUCAGUGGGGACGAUAAUGACAGUACCGGGAGAAUAAGCCCCGGCUAACUCCGUGCCAGCAGCCGCGGUAAUACGGAGGGGGCUAGCGUUAUUCGGAAUUACUGGGCGUAAAGCGCACGUAGGCGGCUUUGUAAGUCAGAGGUGAAAGCCUGGAGCUCAACUCCAGAACUGCCUUUGAGACUGCAUCGCUUGAAUCCAGGAGAGGUGAGUGGAAUUCCGAGUGUAGAGGUGAAAUUCGUAGAUAUUCGGAAGAACACCAGUGGCGAAGGCGGCUCACUGGACUGGUAUUGACGCUGA
RNAcentral lists this ribosomal RNA (647 nucleotides) under uncultured bacterium. RNAcentral describes it as "bacterial SSU rRNA". It matches the Rfam family "Bacterial small subunit ribosomal RNA", at positions 54 to 749 of the family's 1533-position model. The record is from RNAcentral.